AGAGUUUGAUCCUGGCUCAGAACGAACGCUGGCGGCAGGCUUAACACAUGCAAGUCGAACGAUCCUUCGGGAUAGUGGCAGACGGGUGAGUAACGCGUGGGAACCUUCCCUGUGGUACGGAAUAGCUCCGGGAAACUGGAAUUAAUACCGUAUACGCCCUUCGGGGGAAAGAUUUAUCGCCAUAGGAUGGGCCCGCGUCGGAUUAGCUUGUUGGUGAGGUAAUGGCUCACCAAGGCUCCGAUCCGUAGCUGGUCUUAGAGGAUGAUCAGCCACACUGGGACUGAGACACGGCCCAGACUCCUACGGGAGGCAGCAGUGGGGAAUAUUGGACAAUGGGCGCAAGCCUGAUCCAGCCAUGCCGCGUGAGUGACGAAGGCCUUAGGGUUGUAAAACUCUUUUGGCGGGGACGAUAAUGACGGUACCCGCAGAAUAAGCCCCGGCUAACUUCGUGCCAGCAGCCGCGGUAAUACGAAGGGGGCUAGCGUUGUUCGGAAUCACUGGGCGUAAAGCGCACGUAGGCGGACUGGUCAGUUGGGGGUGAAAUCCCGGGGCUCAACCUCGGAACUGCCUUCAAUACUGCCAGUCUUGAGUCCGAGAGAGGUGAGUGGAAUUCCUAGUGUAGAGGUGAAAUUCGUAGAUAUUAGGAAGAACACCAGU
Molecule: ribosomal RNA, 657 nt
Filed under: uncultured Alphaproteobacteria bacterium
Lineage: Bacteria; Pseudomonadati; Pseudomonadota; Alphaproteobacteria
Description: bacterial SSU rRNA
Rfam family: Bacterial small subunit ribosomal RNA
Source: RNAcentral